AAGCUCGUAGUUGAAUUUCGGGGUUAGUAGGUUGGUCAUGCCUCUGGUAUAUACUGGUCUCACUGAUCCCUCCUUCCUGAUGAACCGUAAUGCCAUUAAUUUGGUGUUGCGGGGAAUUUGGACUGUUACUUUGAAAAAAUUAGAGUGUUUAAAGCAAGCUAACGCUUGAAUACAUUAGCAUGGAAUAAUGAAAUAGGACGUUCGAUCCUAUUUUGUUGGUUUCUUAGGAUUGACGUAAUGAUUAAUAGGAUAGUUGGG
This 258-nucleotide ribosomal RNA is filed under the name uncultured Glomus. RNAcentral's name for it is "partial 18S ribosomal RNA". It matches the Rfam family "Eukaryotic small subunit ribosomal RNA", at positions 624 to 885 of the family's 1831-position model. Lineage: Eukaryota; Fungi; Glomeromycota; Glomeromycetes; Glomerales; Glomeraceae. The record is from RNAcentral.